RNAcentral lists this ribosomal RNA (409 nucleotides) under uncultured bacterium. Its description in RNAcentral is "bacterial SSU rRNA". It matches the Rfam family "Bacterial small subunit ribosomal RNA", at positions 355 to 776 of the family's 1533-position model. The record is from RNAcentral.
UGAGGAAUAUUGGACAAUGGGCGAAAGCUUGAUCCAGCAAUAUUGCGUGAGUGAAGAAGCCUGUUUGGGUGUAAAACUCUUUCAUCUAAGGAGGAUAAUGACAGUACUUAGAAAAAAAGUCCCGGCUAACUCUGUGCCAGCAGCCGCGGUAAUACAGGGGGGACUAGUGUUAUUCGGAGUGACUGGGCGUAAAGGGCAUGUAGGCGGUUUAUUAUGUUAAAAGUCAAAGACCAGAAUUGUUAUUUUGGAAUAUCUUUUAAAACGGAUAAACUAGAGUUAGAAAGAGGAUAGUGGAAUUUCUAGUGUAGAGAUAAAAUUCGUAAAUAUUAGAAGGAACUCCUAUUGGCGAAGGCUACUAUCUGGUUCUAUUUACUGACGCUGAGGUGCUAAAGCAUGGGGAUCAAACGGG